Molecule: transfer RNA, 68 nt
Filed under: Marmota monax (woodchuck)
Lineage: Eukaryota; Metazoa; Chordata; Mammalia; Rodentia; Sciuridae
Description: tRNA.Val
Source: RNAcentral
GGAUUGUGUCUCAGUGGUAGAGCGCUUGCCUAACAUGUGUGAGGCACUGGGUUCAAUUCUCAGCACCA